RNAcentral lists this non-coding RNA (801 nucleotides) under Euprepiophis mandarinus (Mandarin rat snake). The record is from RNAcentral. Lineage: Eukaryota; Metazoa; Chordata; Lepidosauria; Squamata; Colubridae.
UUGGUCUCAAACCCCUAUUAUUUAAACCCCUAAUUAUACAUGCGAGACUCAUCCACAACAGUGAAACAGCCCACCACAACAGUUUGGAGCAGGUAUCAGGCAACAAGCCCACAACACCAAGCAGACUAGCCACACCCCCACGGGUCCACAGCAGUAGAUAACAUUAGGCCAUAAACGCAAGCUUGACCUAGUAAGAGGACCUUUACCCAGGGUCGGUUAAUCUCGUGCCAGCGACCGCGGUUAUACGACAGACCCAAAAUAAUACCACCGGCGUAAAACACGACUAAAAAUCAGUCCAACAUUAGAAAGAAAGCCAAGCUAGGCUGUAAAAAGCCAUAAGCCACACUAACCACCUAACAAUAAACAAUUCCACUCGUGAAAGCUAGGACACAAACUAAGAUUAGAUACCUUACUAUGCCCAGCCAUAACACAACAAUUAAAUCACCCAUUGUUCGCCAAAUAACUACGAGUGAAAACUUAAAAUUUAAAAAGACUUGACGGUAUCUCACAACAACCUAGAGGAGCCUGUCCAAUAACCGAUACCCCACGAUCAACCCAACCCACCCUAGCCCAACAGUCUAUAUACCGCCGUCGCCAGCCUACCUUGUGAAAGAAACAAAGUGAGCCCAAUAGCCACCCACUAAUACGACAGGUCGAGGUGUAACUCAUGGUGGGCCCAAGAUGGGCUACAUUUUCUAACACAGAAAAUACGAAUAAACUAUGAAAUAAGAAACUGAAGGUGGAUUUAGCAGUAUAUAAGGAAUAAACAUACCUAAUUGAAAUUAACGCAAUGAGAUGCGU